UUUCCGUAGGUGAACCUGCGGAAGGAUCAUUAUCAUACAACUGAGGUGCGAGGGCUGUCGCUGACUUUUAAAGUCGUGCACGCCCAAGUGCUCUCACAUAUAUCCAUCUCACCCAUUUGUGCAUCAUCGCGUGGGUCCUGCUCUUUGGCUUGUUCCAAGGAGGGGGGCUUGCGUUUUCAUACAAACACCCUUUUAAUGGAAUGUAGAAUGUUCUUGCAAUAUAAAUACAACUUUCAACAACGGAUCUCUUGGCUCUC
RNAcentral lists this unclassified non-coding RNA (257 nucleotides) under root metagenome. Its description in RNAcentral is "partial contains small subunit ribosomal RNA, internal transcribed spacer 1, and 5.8S ribosomal RNA". The record is from RNAcentral.